UUCAUUGAAACCUCAUGCAAUCUCAAUUCUCUGCCUUACAGUGUACUGCAAAUUGUGAAUCAUAAGGAAGAAGAUGAAAGAAUUUUUUUUGACAAGAACUCGAUGUUCCUUAAAUGGACUCACUGGUCUUUGAGGAUGUAGCUGUGAACUUCACCUGGGAGGAGUGGGUUUCACUAGAUUCCUCACAGAAGAAACUCUACAGAGAUGUUAUGUUGGAAAACUUCAGAAACAUUGUCUCGAAGCAGAAUGGAAACAUCAUGGCAUUGAAAGUCAGUCCAGAAACCAGGGGAGUAAAUUAAGAAGUCCUAUGAUAGAAUCUCUGAAAAGAAAGAUAUUAAUUCCUGUGGAGAAAGCACCAAACUUCUUCUAACUCCCAAUGUAAAGAGAACUCUUGAUUUAAAACCAUGGGAAUGCAGAGCAUGUGGAAAGUCUUCAUGUAUUAUUCAUCCCUUACUAGAUACAUGAAAUAUCAUGCUGAAAACAGACCAGGAGAGCAUCAAAAGUACCACGAGAAGGUAUAUAAAUGUCAAGAAUGUGGGUUAGCAUUCAUUCAUCCUAGUUCUCUUAAAACACAUGAAAGGAGACAUGCAGGGGAGAAAACCUAUGAAUGUCAGAUAUGUGAGAAAGUAUUCAUUUAUUCCAGUUAUCUUCAGAUGCAUGAAAGCACUCAUAAGGGAGAUAAACCCUAUCAAUGUAAACAAAAUAGAAGAAGCUUUGAAAGUCUUGAAACUGUUGAAAUACCUGGAAGAAUUCAAGAGAAGAAACCCUAUGAAUGUAAACAGUGUGGUAAAGCCUUCAAACAUUUCAGAUCCUUCCAGGGACAGAAAAGACAUCACACCGGAGAGGGUAUGUAUCAUGCAUACACAGGGUAUGUAUGUAAAACAUGUUCUAAAGUAUUCGAUAAUGCCUGGUCUCUUAGAGAUCAUCAACGAAUUCACACUGGAGUAAAACCCUACAAGUGUAGGAAUGUGGGAAAGCCUUCACAUUGAAAAAAACCCUUAAGCAACACGUGAUAACACACACACUGGAGAUGGACCUUAUAAAUGUAAAGAACGUAAGAGAGUUUUCAUUGAUCGCAGUUUUCUUAAAAUACAUGAAAGAGUCACACUGGAGAGAAACCCUAUGAAUGUGAACAGUGUGGAAAAGUCUUUUGAUAUCAAAAAUCCUUCCAACAACACAAAAGAAUGCAUAUAGGUGAGAAACCCUAUGAAUGUAAAGAAUGUGGGAAAACCUUCACUUGGCAUAUAACUUCAAAAAUCCAUGGUAACACACACUGGAGAUCUACCUUAUAAAUGUCAGAAAUGUGAGAAAGCAUUUCUUUAUCCCAGUUUUCUUUGAAUACAUGAAAGGAGUCACACUGGAAAGAAACUGUAUGAAUGUAAAGAAUGUGGGAAAAGCUUCCUGUGAUAUUCAGCUUUUUGAAAACAUGGUAACGCACUCUGGAUAUUUACCAAAUAAAUGUCAGAAAUGUGAGAAAGCAUUUUUUUAUCCCAGUCAUCUUUGAAUGCAUGAAAGUAUUCACAAUGGAGAGAAGCCCUAUCAGUGUAAACAAUGUGGAAAAACCUUUAAAUGUCCUAAAAGUGUCCGAAUACAUGAAAGAAUUCACAGAGGCGAUAAAUGCUAUGAAUGUAAGUGAUGUGGUAAAGUCUUCAAUUAUUUCAAUGACUCCCAGGUCCACAAAAGACAUCAUACAGGAGAGACACCAUGUGUAUGUAAAACAUGUUCUAAAGUAUUGAGUAGUGCCUGCCCU
Odocoileus virginianus texanus is the source of this 1750-nucleotide long non-coding RNA. RefSeq lists it as uncharacterized. The record is from RefSeq and is a predicted model, not a curated record. NCBI's taxonomy places the organism in Eukaryota, Metazoa, Chordata, Mammalia, Artiodactyla, Cervidae.